RNAcentral lists this small RNA (656 nucleotides) under Pongo abelii (Sumatran orangutan). Its description in RNAcentral is "processed transcript". The record is from RNAcentral. Lineage: Eukaryota; Metazoa; Chordata; Mammalia; Primates; Hominidae.
UUUUUUUUUGUUUGUUUUGAGACAGGGUCUUGCCCUGUCACCCAGGCUGGAGUGCAGUGGUAUGAUCUCGGCUCACUGCAACCUCCGCCUCCCGGGGCGUUUUAGAGUCCCCGUUUCUACGUUCUGUGUGGCACCCUCUUGCCAAGGGAACAUCCAGAAUCCCUCCACUUCCUGUCUAGUUUGAGGCCUCAAUACGUUCAUGAUCCAGAGUCCUGUGGCUGUGAGGGGGUGGGCCCACCGCUGCCCAGCCCUCCUUGGUGGACAUGGGGACAGGUUUUGCUGAGAAACGGGAGUGCGUUCUGUGUGGGUGUUUGUGACACCCUGAGACCCUGCUUGGCCUAGCUAAAGUCUGGAAAGCCUGGGUCCCACAGGGCUUGCAUGAGGGCCAUGGGCCUGUACUUCAGGAGGCCUGAGAGGCCCGGUCAGUCCCAUGAGGCUACUCAGCUUGGCCCGCAGGUCCUCCGAGGCACAGGGCAGAGGGACACCCCAGGGACCCAUCAGACUCACGACACGGAGAAACUCAAGUGGGGUGCCAGGGCCGGCUGCAGAGACCACAGGCUUCCUGCCUGUGAGGAGCCGCCCUGUUUGUCUGAGCCCCUCGGAGAUUUAGGUUUAGCCAUAAGAACCGGUCAUUGGAAUGUACACUUUAUUAUGUU